Molecule: long non-coding RNA, 319 nt
Filed under: Elaeis guineensis (African oil palm)
Lineage: Eukaryota; Viridiplantae; Streptophyta; Magnoliopsida; Arecales; Arecaceae
Description: long non-coding RNA (EGUI_LNC028720)
Source: RNAcentral
GUGUCUGUAGUGUGUUCGACUGAUGUAGCAAGUGUUUACCCAAAAAAAAAACUGAUAUAGCAAGUGCGUUUGUUAAAGCAACACUAGGUUUGAGCACUAGCUCGAGCAUAGUUCUUGGAAUAAUGGAUCUUUUUAAGGGGUGAGAUGAGACAUGGCUCUUGGGAAACGGAACUUUUGGCCUCUUAUAGGCUUGAGCACCCACUUUUGCGGAGGAGCAGAAACAUGUGGUGCAUGUAAAGGCAGCUUGAUUGAAGGGAAAGAAUGUUAAAAAUCAUCUAUGAGGUUCAAUCUCAUAUAGAACAAUGAAUGAGAGGUAGAU